RNAcentral lists this ribosomal RNA (620 nucleotides) under uncultured Chloroflexota bacterium. RNAcentral describes it as "bacterial SSU rRNA". It matches the Rfam family "Bacterial small subunit ribosomal RNA", at positions 428 to 1065 of the family's 1533-position model. The record is from RNAcentral. Lineage: Bacteria; Bacillati; Chloroflexota.
AAGCCCUUUUCCCAGGGACGAUGGUGACGGUACCUGGGGAAUCAGCCCCGGCUAACUACGUGCCAGCAGCCGCGGUAAUACGUAGGGGGCAAGCGUUGUCCGGAUUUAUUGGGCGUAAAGCGCUCGCAGGUGGCCCGAUGCGUCGUGCGUGAAAGACCCCGGCUCAACUGGGGGGCGUCGUGCGAUACGGUCGGGCUGGAGGCCAGUAGGGGGAUGCGGAAUUCCGGGUGUAGUGGUGGAAUGCGUAGAGAUCCGGAGGAACACCAGCGGCGAAGGCGGCAUCCUGGACUGGUCCUGACACUCAGGAGCGAAAGCGUGGGGAGCGAUCCGGAUUAGAUACCCGGGUAGUCCACGCCGUAAACGAUGAGCACUAGGUGUCGGGGGUAUCGACCCCCUCGGUGCCGCAGCCAACGCGAUAAGUGCUCCGCCUGGGGACUACGGCCGCAAGGCUAAAACUCAAAGGAAUUGACGGGGGCCCGCACAAGCAGCGGAGCAUGUGGUUUAAUUCGACGCAACGCGAAGAACCUUACCAAGGCUUGACAUGCACUGGAAAGCUCUAGAAAUAGGGCCUCCCUUCGGGGCCAGUGCACAGGUGGUGCAUGGCUGUCGUCAGCUCGUGU